This 740-nucleotide ribosomal RNA is filed under the name uncultured bacterium. Its description in RNAcentral is "bacterial SSU rRNA". It matches the Rfam family "Bacterial small subunit ribosomal RNA", at positions 104 to 845 of the family's 1533-position model. The record is from RNAcentral.
GGGUGAGUAACGCGUAUCCAACCUGCCCGCCACUUGGGGAUAACCUUGCGAAAGUAAGACUAAUACCCAAUGAUAUCUCUAGAAGGCAUCUGAAAGAGAUUAAAGAUUUAUCGGUGAUGGAUGGGGAUGCGUCUGAUUAGCUUGUUGGCGGGGUAACGGCCCACCAAGGCAACGAUCAGUAGGGGUUCUGAGAGGAAGGUCCCCCACAUUGGAACUGAGACACGGUCCAAACUCCUACGGGAGGCAGCAGUGAGGAAUAUUGGUCAAUGGACGAGAGUCUGAACCAGCCAAGUAGCGUGCAGGAAGACGGCCCUAUGGGUUGUAAACUGCUUUUAUAAGGGAAUAAAGUGAGUCUCGUGAGACUUUUUGCAUGUACCUUAUGAAUAAGGACCGGCUAAUUCCGUGCCAGCAGCCGCGGUAAUACGGAAGGUCCGGGCGUUAUCCGGAUUUAUUGGGUUUAAAGGGAGCGUAGGCCGGAGAUUAAGCGUGUUGUGAAAUGUAGAUGCUCAACAUCUGAACUGCAGCGCGAACUGGUUUCCUUGAGUACGCACAAAGUGGGCGGAAUUCGUGGUGUAGCGGUGAAAUGCUUAGAUAUCACGAAGAACUCCGAUUGCGAAGGCAGCUCACUGGAGCGCAACUGACGCUGAAGCUCGAAAGCGCGGGUAUCGAACAGGAUUAGAUACCCUGGUAGUCCGCACGGUAAACGAUGGAUGCCCGCUGUUGGUCUGAAUAGGUCAGCG